UACUUGGAUAACCGUGGUAAUUCUAGAGCUAAUACAUGCUAAAAAUCCCGACUUCGGAAGGGAUGUAUUUAUUAGAUUAAAAACCAAUGCCCUCUGGGCUCCUUGGUGAUUCAUGAUAACUUCUCGAAUCGCAUGGCCUUGCGCCGGCGAUGGUUCAUUCAAAUUUCUUCCCUAUCAACUUUCGAUGUUUGGGUAGUGGCCAAACAUGGUUGCAACGGGUAACGGAGGGUUAGGGCUCGACCCCGGAGAAGGAGCCUGAGAAACGGCUACUACAUCCAAGGAAGGCAGCAGGCGCGCAAAUUACCCAAUCCCGAUUCGGGGAGGUAGUGACAAUAAAUACUGAUACAGGGCUCUUUUGGGUCUUGUAAUUGGAAUGAGUACAAUUUAAAUCCCUUAACGAGGAACAAUUGGAGGGCAAGUCUGGUGCCAGCAGCCGCGGUAAUUCCAGCUCCAAUAGCGUAUAUUAAAGUUGUUGUGGUUAAAAAGCUCGUAGUUGAACCUUGGGCCUGGCUGGCCGGUCCGCCUCACCGCGUGUACUGGUCCGGCCGGGUCUUUCCCUCUGUGGAACCCCAUGCCCUUCACUGGGUGUGGCGGGGAAACAGGACUUUUACUUUGAAAAAAUUAGAGUGCUCCAGGCAGGCCUAUGCUCGAAUACAUUAGCAUGGAAUAAUGAAAUAGGACGUGCGGUUCUAUUUUGUUGGUUUCUAGGACCGCCGUAAUGAUUAAUAGGGACAGUCGGGGGCAUCAGUAUUCAAUUGUCAGAGGUGAAAUUCUUGGAUUUAUUGAAGACUAACUACUGCGAAAGCAUUUGCCAAGGAUGUUUUCAUUAAUCAGGAACGAAAGUUAGGGGAUCGAAGACGAUCAGAUACCGUCGUAGUCUUAACCAUAAACUAUGCCGAAUAGGGAUCGGACGAUGUUAUUUAUUGA
RNAcentral lists this ribosomal RNA (927 nucleotides) under Pochonia chlamydosporia. RNAcentral describes it as "SSU rRNA". It matches the Rfam family "Eukaryotic small subunit ribosomal RNA", at positions 136 to 1073 of the family's 1831-position model. Lineage: Eukaryota; Fungi; Ascomycota; Sordariomycetes; Hypocreales; Clavicipitaceae. The record is from RNAcentral.